This is a long non-coding RNA of Erinaceus europaeus (western European hedgehog), 613 nucleotides long. RefSeq lists it as uncharacterized. The record is from RefSeq and is a predicted model, not a curated record. NCBI's taxonomy places the organism in Eukaryota, Metazoa, Chordata, Mammalia, Eulipotyphla, Erinaceidae. The transcript is spliced from 4 exons.
UUCACUGGAGUCUGAAGCUACACUUUCAAUAGUCAUGGUUUUCUUAUUUUGCCUUGUUGUGGUUUUUUGUUUUAUUUUAAAGAAGAUUGCAAAGUCAAAGCAGAAAAAGAAAGCUCAAAGACAAAAGAAAACUAUUUAAACAACGGAGACAAAAAUAUUAGAAUCCUUGGAAUCCACCCCUUCAGAACGUCUUCCCUCGAAUUUCUGUAGCUCCACCACCUCAUAUCUCUGGAAGAAAUUAUAAAGUUAUGAUUCAUGAACCCAAAGAUGACAAUACUUACAUUUAUCCAGCUUAUGAACGUGAUGGCUCUGUGGGAACAUCUCAAACAGAAGCAAAUUAUGGAAACAAGUAUUCUGCCAACAUACACAUGAAGCCGCUAUUUAGUUUAACAUCAGGAAUUCCAAAAUCAAGCUACAUUCAAAAAGAAAGACAACAAUUUGUAUACUCAGACUCUGAAGCACCAGAUAAAUUACUACGUAUGUAGAUGAAACUCAAUUGUUAAAUGUUCCUACAGAUAAAAACAUGUGAUCAUUUGUAAGAACAAGCUGGAAUACUUUAAGAGGGCACAAUGAGUAUGAUUUCCUUAUGUUCCAUAUUAAAACUGUGCCUUCA